This 165-nucleotide ribosomal RNA is filed under the name uncultured bacterium. RNAcentral's name for it is "partial 16S ribosomal RNA". It matches the Rfam family "Bacterial small subunit ribosomal RNA", at positions 346 to 525 of the family's 1533-position model. The record is from RNAcentral.
UGGCAGCAGUGGGGAAUAUUGCACAAUGGGCGAAAGCCUGAUGCAGCAACGCCGCGUGAGCGAUGAAGGCCUUUGGGUCGUAAAGCUCUGUCCUAGGGGACGAACACAAUGACGGUACCCUUGGAGGAAGCCCCGGCUAACUACGUGCCAGCAGCCGCGGUAAUA